Molecule: ribosomal RNA, 603 nt
Filed under: Inocephalus sp. DLL9830
Lineage: Eukaryota; Fungi; Basidiomycota; Agaricomycetes; Agaricales; Entolomataceae
Description: partial large subunit ribosomal RNA
Rfam family: Eukaryotic large subunit ribosomal RNA
Source: RNAcentral
GGAAAAGAAACUAACAAGGAUUCCCUUAGUAACUGCGAGUGAAGUGGGAAAAGCUCAAAUUUAAAAUCUGGCAGUCCUUUUGGCUGUCCGAGUUGUAAUCUAGAGAAGCAUUAUCUGUGCUGAAUCCAUGUAUAAGUCUCCUGGAAUGGAGUGUCAUAGAGGGUGAGAAUCCCGUCUUUGACAUGGACUAUCAGUGCAUUGUGAUAUGCUCUCAAAGAGUCGAGUUGUUUGGGAAUGCAGCUCUAAAUGGGUGGUAAAUUCCAUCUAAAGCUAAAUAUUGGCGAGAGACCGAUAGCGAACAAGUACCGUGAGGGAAAGAUGAAAAGAACUUUGGAAAGAGAGUUAAACAGUAUGUGAAAUUGUUGAAAGGGAAACGCUUAAAGUCAGUCACAUUGAUCAGGGAUCAACCUUGCUUUUUGCUUGGUGCAUUUUCUGAUCAAUGGGUCAGCAUCAAUUUUGACCAGUGGAAAAAGGCUGAGGGAAUGUGGCAUCUUUUGAUGUGUUAUAGCUCUCUGUCAUAUACAUUGGUUGGGAUUGAGGAAUUCAGCAUGCCGCAAGGCCGGGUUUUAACCACGUUCAUGCUUAGGAUGCUGGCAUAAUGAC